Canis lupus familiaris (dog) is the source of this 1460-nucleotide long non-coding RNA. RefSeq lists it as uncharacterized. The transcript is spliced from 2 exons. NCBI's taxonomy places the organism in Eukaryota, Metazoa, Chordata, Mammalia, Carnivora, Canidae. The record is from RefSeq and is a predicted model, not a curated record.
AGCAGGCUCCUUGCAGGGAGCCCGACAUGGGACCUGAUCCCAGAUCCCGGGAUCACGCCCUUAGCCAAAGGCAGAUGCUCAACGGCUGAGCCAUUCAGGCAUCCCGGGACUGUCCUUUUAAAUGGAAUAUAUGUAGCUCUAUGAAAAGUCCCUGCUUUGUCCUUUUUCCUCUAACUGUUCUAUUCCCUCUUGGUCUCCAUGGGGUGAUGGUGACAGUGGUGAAGAGCAGACAGAGAAAUCAAGAGGUAAAAAUCUAAUUCAAGGAUUGUUUAAUUUUCCUAAUCAAACUGACCACUUCUGCAUUGUGCACCUUUGGAUCACCAGUUUCUUUGGUAACAUAAUCUCACCAGGAAGGGUAAGAAUAUUAUACAAUUGUGAGAAUAUCAUACUUUGAGUACUUCCCUUGGAAUUAUUUCCACUCUGGGUUGUGUCAGUCUGUUUCUGGUUGGUUGGGUCCUUGCUUCCAGUGAGCCCCACCCACCCAAACACUUCUAGGAUUACCUGGGGAGGUGGGAUUGUGACCGCCCUAUGCCUCAUUUAGCCAGAUCAGAUGGGGCUGAAUGGUGGAAAUUGGCACGGUUCCCAGAGGAGGAAACAAGCUUGCUUUCCAACUGGUGUCCCAGGCAGGUGCAGGAGACACUAGCAGAGCCAGUUUAACCAGCAUCUUGGGCAAGGUUUGGCCCAUACUUUUUUCCUCUUUGCAGUUUCCUCUGGCAGAAGUGGAAACACUGCUUGGCAGGUUACAAUGCCUUUUCACAAAUGUGAAAAAGCCCUAGAGGCCAGGGCUGCCAAAGAUGGGAGAUGGUCUGCAUCAGAGGUUUGGCACGGGACUGAGUUCAGUCUCAGCUCUAGAAUACACAGCAGCAGCUGCCUACUUGGCUUUUUCCCAGGAAAUCACUGACAGUUGACAGUUGCUGCCUCCGUUUCCCUUGCUCUCUGUUGCCUGGAACAGUUAGUAUCACUACGACAAGAAUGACCUUUGAGAGCUGAACUCAGCUUCUUUUACUUGUUAUAAUGAAAGUCACCUUCGCGCCCCCAAGAAUGUGCCAGGGUACAUUCGCUGCUGGAUUUAAAUAAUCAAGUGCAGUCCCUGAGGGGUGAGCUAUCUUCUUUCCCCAAAACAUACAUAAUCCUUUAGUCUACUUUUCUCUUUACUACUGAAUUUUCUCUCCUUUAGGUUUUAAUGCUCCUCUUAUUUCAUUCCCAUUAGCAGGUUUCACAGCCUGGUUCAUAUUCCAGCUAUGAAAUAGUUCACAUAGUUCUGGGUAGACAUAAUAUUUACGGGAACUGAAGAUGGGUGGAUUCUGAUAAUGGCUUGUGGAAUAGUCUUCAGUGCAGUCAAAAUAACAAAGAAUUCAAGGAACUAAUGCUUUGAGACUUUAGGCCCUCAUAAACUUCCCAAAUGUUCCUCUUAAACCCUGUGUGAAUAUCAGCAGAAUACAGCAGAGUGUUGCCCUGGG